UCCCUGGUGGCUCAGAUGGUAAAGCAACUGCCUGCAAUGCGGGAGACCCAGGUUCGAUUCCUGGGUCGGGAA
RNAcentral lists this transfer RNA (72 nucleotides) under Ovis aries (sheep). It matches the Rfam family "tRNA". From Rfam's summary of the family: Transfer RNA (tRNA) molecules are approximately 80 nucleotides in length. Their secondary structure includes four short double-helical elements and three loops (D, anti-codon, and T loops). Lineage: Eukaryota; Metazoa; Chordata; Mammalia; Artiodactyla; Bovidae. The record is from Rfam by way of RNAcentral.